Long non-coding RNA from Arachis ipaensis, 699 nucleotides. RefSeq lists it as uncharacterized. The record is from RefSeq and is a predicted model, not a curated record. Lineage: Eukaryota; Viridiplantae; Streptophyta; Magnoliopsida; Fabales; Fabaceae.
CACGCUGAAUGUAGCCAUGGGAGAAGAGAAGAAGAAGCAAGCCUUCACCUAAUCUUCAAUCUUUGAUAACUUUUGAUCCGGAGCUCCAAUUGACGCAUCAUUUGCGGCUACGCGAUCGUGUCGCCGAGCACUACAAAGCCCAUAACUUUGUUCUUGAGGAUCUAAUUAGCUUGAAGAGAAGACUCAAUCUCACUCCUUUGAUCCUUGGGUAUGGAUAUGUAUGUAUGAAUGUUGGAGCUUGAUUGAGGUCUUAGAAAGGCUUGGAAGUGGAUUUGCAAGCUGAAAAUCUGACCUUGGAGGUGUCGGAGCCUUGAAAAUUAAGGAAGAGUGGAAUUUGAAGUGUUUCGGUUUGAGCGAGAAAUCGGCCAAGAUGUAGGACAGGCGGCACCUCACUGAAGCAUGCUGGAAGCUUCUGAUGUUGUGAAGAUCUUUAUCUUUUGGGUUUAUUUUGGUUAUUUGUAUUUGCUUAGAUACUUAUUAUCUUCACCUAUUAUAUAUAUGCUGUAUUAAUUCUUCUUAGAGGUGAUUUUGGAGAUUUAGGUUUUGUAACUCUGUAUUUUUGAUUUUCUUUUGGGUUUUCCUAUAUACCUAUAUAUGUAUAACUGUGUGCUCAGACCGGUUUAUCUUUGCGAGCCGAGUUUUGAGUUUUGUUACAUGUGUUUUGGAACACUUAGUAUAUAAAUUCGUUAGCUUGCUCUA